CCCUUAGAUGUUCUGGGCCGCACGCGCGCUACACUGAUGCAUUCAACGAGUGUACCUUGGCCGAGAGGCCUGGGCAAUCUUUUGAACGUGCAUCGUGAUAGGGAUAGAUUAUUGCAAUUAUUAAUCUUGAACGAGGAAUUCCUAGUAAACGCAGAUCAUCAAUCUGCAUUGAUUACGUCCCUGCCCUUUGUACACACCGCCCGUCGCGCCUACCGAUUGGAUGGUCCGGUGAAGCCUCGGGAUUGUGGCGGUUGCCUUUAUUGGUGGCCGCCGCGAGAACUUGUCUAAACCUUAUCAUCUAGAGGAAGGUGAAGUCGUAACA
This 322-nucleotide ribosomal RNA is filed under the name uncultured eukaryote. RNAcentral's name for it is "partial 18S ribosomal RNA". It matches the Rfam family "Eukaryotic small subunit ribosomal RNA", at positions 1470 to 1796 of the family's 1831-position model. The record is from RNAcentral.